GACGAACGCUGGCGGCGCGCUUAACACAUGCAAGUCGAGCGAGAACCCACCUUCGGGUGGGGGAAAGCGGCGAACGGGUGAGUAACACGUGGGCAACCCACCCUUGGUAUCCGGAUAGCCCGGGGAAACCCGGAUUAAUACGGAAUGGCCCAACAGCUCUUCGGGGCGGUUGGAAAAGGUAGCUUCGGCCUCCGACCAAGGACGGGCCCGCGGUGGAUUAGCUUGUUGGUGAGGUAACGGCCCACCAAGGCGACGAUCCAUAGCUGGUCUGAGAGGACGAUCAGCCACACUGGGACUGAGACACGGCCCAGACUCCUACGGGAGGCAGCAGUGGGGAAUCUUGCGCAAUGGGCGAAAGCCUGACGCAGCGACGCCGCGU
RNAcentral lists this ribosomal RNA (379 nucleotides) under uncultured bacterium. RNAcentral's name for it is "bacterial SSU rRNA". It matches the Rfam family "Bacterial small subunit ribosomal RNA", at positions 28 to 402 of the family's 1533-position model. The record is from RNAcentral.